This 511-nucleotide long non-coding RNA is filed under the name Setaria viridis. Its description in RNAcentral is "long non-coding RNA (SVIR_LNC002286)". The record is from RNAcentral. Lineage: Eukaryota; Viridiplantae; Streptophyta; Magnoliopsida; Poales; Poaceae.
UUUAUUUCUUUAGUAGCUCUUAAAAUUUCUGUCACAUCGAAUAUUUAGAUACUAAUUAGGAGUAUUAAAUAUAGACUAAUUACAAAACUAAUUGCACAGAUGGAGACUAAUUUGCGAGACGAAUCUAUUAAGCCCAAUUAGUCCAUGAUUUGACAAUCUGAUGCUACAGUAAACAUGUGCUAAUGAUGGAUUAAUUAGGCUUAAUAGAUUCGUCUCGUGAAUUAGCCUCCAUUUGUGUAAUUAGUUUUAUAAUUAGCUCAUGUUUAGUCCUCCUAAUUAGCCUUCGAAUAUUCGAUGUGAUAUAAAUUUUAGUCGGGAUUAAAGAUCCAAACACCUCCUAGCAUAAGAAGUACACGUAAAAUAGAGGCACAAAUAUUCCUAGAAUGAUUCCAGAUUCCUCUAUACGGAUCGCCGCAAAAUUUAGUGAAGUAGUACCUCUUGCACAUCUACGCUCUUUAUAAAAACAGAGUAAGUUUGUUUCGUUCUAGGUAUUGUAUUUGCUCUUGUAGCA